This 425-nucleotide ribosomal RNA is filed under the name uncultured bacterium. Its description in RNAcentral is "partial 16S ribosomal RNA". It matches the Rfam family "Bacterial small subunit ribosomal RNA", at positions 354 to 796 of the family's 1533-position model. The record is from RNAcentral.
GUGGGGAAUAUUGGACAAUGGGCGCAAGCCUGAUCCAGCCAUGCCGCGUGAGUGAUGAAGGCCUUCGGGUUGUAAAGCUCUUUAGUCCACGAAUAUAAUGACUGUAGUGGAAGAAUAAGCCCCGGCUAACUUCGUGCCAGCAGCCGCGGUAAUACGAAGGGGGCGAGCGUUAUUCGGAAUCACUGGGCGUAAAGCGUGCGUAGGCUGUUUUGUAAGUCAGAAGUGAAAGCCCAGGGCUUAACCCUGGAAUUGCUUUUGAAACUACAAGACUCGAAUUCGGGAGAGGAUAGCGGAAUUGUCAGUGUAGCAGUGAAAUGCGUAGAUAUUGACAGGAACACCAGUGGCGCAAGCGGCUAUCUGGACCGAUAUUGACGCUGAGGCACGAAAGCGUGGGGAGCAAACAGGAUUAGAAACCCGGGUAGUCC